UAACGAUAAAGGCGAACCCUGAGUGAUCAGGGGACGCAAAGUAACAGGGUCUUUUGAAUAUCUUCCUGCAGAAGCAGGAAGAGAGAAAGAUAGCCUUACUGUCGAA
Molecule: regulatory RNA element, 106 nt
Organism: Candidatus Brocadia fulgida
Lineage: Bacteria; Pseudomonadati; Planctomycetota; Candidatus Brocadiia; Candidatus Brocadiales; Candidatus Brocadiaceae
Rfam family: c-di-GMP-I riboswitch aptamer
About the family: GEMM was predicted in a large-scale screen for bacterial structured RNA regulatory elements. Genes associated with GEMM are involved in a diverse array of functions, including chemotaxis regulation, signal transduction, secretion and chitin.
Source: Rfam